RNAcentral lists this ribosomal RNA (528 nucleotides) under Klebsiella pneumoniae. RNAcentral's name for it is "partial 23S ribosomal RNA". It matches the Rfam family "Bacterial large subunit ribosomal RNA", at positions 167 to 738 of the family's 2925-position model. The record is from RNAcentral. Lineage: Bacteria; Pseudomonadati; Pseudomonadota; Gammaproteobacteria; Enterobacterales; Enterobacteriaceae.
UAGGUUAACGAGGCGAACCGGGGGAACUGAAACAUCUAAGUACCCCGAGGAAAAGAAAUCAACCGAGAUUCCCCCAGUAGCGGCGAGCGAACGGGGAGCAGCCCAGAGUCUGAAUCAGCUUGUGUGUUAGUGGAACGGUCUGGAAAGUCCGACGGUACAGGGUGAUAGUCCCGUACACCAAAAUGCACAGGCUGUGAACUCGAAGAGUAGGGCGGGACACGUGGUAUCCUGUCUGAAUAUGGGGGGACCAUCCUCCAAGGCUAAAUACUCCUGACUGACCGAUAGUGAACCAGUACCGUGAGGGAAAGGCGAAAAGAACCCCGGCGAGGGGAGUGAAAAAGAACCUGAAACCGUGUACGUACAAGCAGUGGGAGCACCUUCGGGUGUGACUGCGUACCUUUUGUAUAAUGGGUCAGCGACUUAUAUUCUGUAGCAAGGUUAACCGUAUAGGGGAGCCGCAGGGAAACCGAGUCUUAACUGGGCGUUAAGUUGCAGGGUAUAGACCCGAAACCCGGUGAUCUAGCCAUG